GAUAUUCCCUACACUCAUGUUGCUCAAUUCACCAAUAAUUGCUUCGUCGCCUCACCGUAGUCCCACCGCCAAACUAUUAAACGUAUACUUCGCCGCCCCGCACCACUUCGCUACACCACCACUGCACUUUCCAGGUAAUUCGUUCAAAUUUUUCUUGAUUUGGACGAGUUUGUUAAUCUAAUUGUAUUAAUCAAUCGAAUUUUUCAAUUCAGCUUUAGUGAAUUCAUAUUUUUCAUCCAUUACAGUAAUUUCGAUCGAAUUUUUGGUGGAUUUAAAAAAUUCUCAAUUUUAGUUUUUGGGAAAUAAUUCAAUCAAUUCUUAUGAACGCAAAUAAUUCAAUAAAAUUGCAGUUUUUUCAAUCAAAUUACACUUAAUUUAUUCGAAUUACAAGAAAUUUCAGUAAUAAUCAAAAUUAUUUUCGCCAAAUUAUUCUUACCUAGGUCAAGUAUAGAACCCUAAUUAGAUAAAGAAAGAGGGGUAGGGGAAAUUGAUUAGCACUAGAUUAUUAUGUUCUAUUAAUUUCAAAUACAUUAAUUUGCAAAUUAUUUUAGAUAAAGUGAUUUUCUUUGCUUUUCUUUCAUAAAAGGGUUGGUUAUGAGAUGUUGUGAUUGAAAUCCAGUGAUGAUUUAAUCUAAUUCUAGUGAUGUAUAAGAGUAGUCAUGGCGUUUGUGGUAUAAGAGUACCUGACAAGUACUCCCACAAUACGACACAAAGUGACAAGUAGAGCGCUUCUUGAGUUUGACAGAAGAUAAACAGAGUUCACAUAUCGAGGAACUGGACAAGUCUUUUGGGACAGAAACAUAAGGUUGUUGACUUAUGACAAUCUCACCUGCAGGAGGCGCAUGGUGAAGAGAAUUAGUUAAUAGGCACUUUUGCUAAGUCAUCUAAAGAAAUACAAUGUGACAUUGCAGAAUAACAGAUUCAGGUGAUGUACAAGGAUUUCCAAAGGAUGUUCAUGAGGCUGAGUCUCAGGUGCUGAUCAUUUGAUGCCAAUGGAGUUGGCCUUUAAGAUUGUUAGAAAAUUCCGAACCAAAGAGAGAUUUGCUGUCUAAGUUGUCAUCCCUAUGUGAAUUAUAGAUCAAUAUGGUAUUUGUAUAUCUAAGCAUUAUUUUUUAAAAUCAACAUUAACUACAAAGGUAUUUUGAUAUUAAACUCAUGUAUUUAUUUGUAUAGAACAAAUUUUGUAUGGAUGAUUCAAUUUAAUUCUGGUUGGAUGUUUUAAAUUAUAUAUAUGAAGUACA
Long non-coding RNA from Chenopodium quinoa (quinoa), 1241 nucleotides. RefSeq lists it as uncharacterized. The transcript has 4 exons. The record is from RefSeq and is a predicted model, not a curated record. Lineage: Eukaryota; Viridiplantae; Streptophyta; Magnoliopsida; Caryophyllales; Amaranthaceae.